Molecule: non-coding RNA, 2798 nt
Organism: Epinephelus lanceolatus (giant grouper)
Lineage: Eukaryota; Metazoa; Chordata; Actinopteri; Perciformes; Serranidae
Source: RefSeq, a predicted model, not a curated record
GCAGGGAGCCCAGUGUGUCGGACUCUCCUCACCGGGGUUCAGUCAGCAGCCUGGAGAGAGAAAGUCCUGAACCAGGAGAGGCCAGCGAGGACGAGCCGCUGCACUACCAGCACUACUACCCCCACAGCUACCCCCACAGGAUAAAGCAGCAUCAGUCUGAUCUGGAGGACGAUCUGUGAUACUGCAGCUCAGAUCCAUCCAGAAACAGAAGCUGGGAUCGGCAACAGCUGGGAUGGAAGACACUCAGAGGAGGUGUUGGCAACAUGAACUGCAUUGACCUGACUCUCUUCCACCCCUGAAUCUGUGUCUUACCUGUCUGUCAGUCAGUUUGAUUUAUUCUGCUGCACCAUCUCAAGUUCUGGAUUCCAGUCGACAAAAUCUCCAAUGUGUUCCUGGUACAUCACUGAAUCUGAUGCUCCCUGCUAACAUUCUGACACAUGGGACAAAAUAUUUGAACAUUUAAACAUGAAGCACCAUGCCGUUGCAAUUUAUAGAAGAUUUCAGGUCACCGUUGAUUUUAAUUACAGUAAUUUCAGAAUGCUAUAAAUUUGACUUAUAGAGGUUUGAUACUUUCUGCAGACCAAUUAUUUAUAACAGUGAGCAAUAUAUGUAAUUCAUUUUGGUUUUGAUGUAUUAAAAAUUGAUAGUGUACCUCCAAAAAAGCAUUUAAUUCAUGGGCUAUAGUUAGCAGUUUUUAGUUCUUCUAAGUUAUUUUAUUUUAGUUCUCAUUAUAUUAUAUUAUAUUAUAUUAUAGAAAAGGUGGUGUAAUAUUGGCCCCAUUUAUUGCUCUACCCUUGCUCCACUGUUGAACCCCCAUCUGCCUGAAUAAAAUCAGUGUGGCAGCAGCUGGCAGCUUCUUAUCACACAGUUUAUUUUCAUUAUUUUAUCAUUACGUGUAACCAGAUGUGUACAGGACGGCAUUAUACGGCUCUGUGGAAAGGGUUCAGUGAGCACAGUUUUAUGACUCUCUGGGUAAAUUACACUGUUUAAUUCACUCAGAAAUUCAGUGAAAAAGUGAGAGACUCUGACAAUUCCCUGAAAUGAAGAUUAAAUCUGAAUAAAAACUACAUGUUAAACAUAUAAAUGGGAAGAUAAUGGGAAGAAUAGCUGACUGAUUUGUGUAACUGCUAAAUUGACUUGGUUAAAGUCAGCUUUACCUCUCAGUUUUUGUAGAUGUUUGGUUCAAGUUAGCUGCUAAAACAGUUUGUUUUAGGUUUACCUAAUGAUUUAGUUCAGCAACUAAAACAAUUUGGUUUGGGUUAGCCAAUAGUUAACUACCCCAAAACAGUUGGCUUUGGGUUAGUCAGAAGAUUAAUAUUAGGAGAUACAACUGUUUCUUAAAGUUAGGAACAGUGUAGUAGAAGAAAACAGUUUAGUUUAUCUGCUAAACAAUGUGUUUAGCAGAUAAACUGAUUGUUUCAGGAUAGUAGAUACAACAGUUUGCUAUAUGUAAGCUAACAGAACAGUUAACCAACCCAAACAGUUGGUUAGCUAAGUCAGUUUGACAGAAAUAACAGUUUGGUUAAGGUUAGCUAAUGGAUCAGUAGCUAAAACAGUUUGCUAUAUGUGAGCUAACGAAACAGGUAAACAGUUGGUUAGCUAAGUCAGUUUAGCAGAGAUAACAGUUUAGUUAAGGUUAACUAAUGGGUUAGUAGCUGAAAGUUUGUUAUAUGUAUGCUAACAGAACAGUUAGCCAACCUAAACAGUUGGUUAGUUAAGUCAGUUUAGCUGUAACAACACUUUGGUUAAGGUUAGCUAACGGUUCAGUAGCUAAAACAGUUUGCUACAUGCUUGCUAAUUUAGCUCCUGGAGAAGGCAGUUUUGUUGAGGUUAGCUAAUGGAUCAGUUCAACAACAAAAAAAAAAAAAUAAUUUGGCCACAUAACUUGAAACAGUUUGGUUUGAGUAAACUAUGGCAUCAGUUACGCAGAGCAAAUUGUUUGGUUCAGAUUACCUUCCUAAUCGGCAGUUAAAAACUUUGGUUCACAUUAGUUCAGUAGCAGUUUGAUACAGGUAAGCUAACGGAAUAGUUAAAUAGAGAAAUGAGUAGUGUAUCAAAAAGAGAAAAAAGCAUGUAAUUUAUUUAUUUAUAAUUUAUUGAUUUGUUGGUUUAGGUUAUCUCACGAUAAGUUUGGCAGGUAAAAAUAUUUAGUUCAGGGUGGAUCAAUUAAAACAGUUUAAUUCACAUAUGCCAACAGUUUAGUAGCUUAAACAGUGUGCUUCAUGAAAGUUACGGAAUGUUUACCAGCAUAAUUGGGUUGCUUACACAUAAGUGUUUCAGAUUAUUUUUCGUUAAUGUUAGCAGCUUAACCAGCUUGAUCCAGGUUAACACUGGGUCAAAUGCUGCCCUCAAACAGGGUCAUGUUUACUGUGUCCACAAGAAGAGUCGAUAGAAAUACCACCCUCUUUGGUGUUCAUGAACUUGAUAACGUUGCAUACUUGAUACAUCCAUAUGUGUCCAUACAUGGACUACUCUGCAUAUCAAUCCGUAUGUGUGCAUGUUUUCUGAAAACUUACAGAUACAGACGAAACAGAGCAGUACCAUCGGAGAUCGUAGAGGCAGUGUAGUGUAACGUUAGAUCAGGUGAGAUAUUACUGUAGGAAAUGAUGAAGACAUUUAAAAUAUGGUGGAACGGAACAAAUCUGAAAUGAAAAGAUAUAUCCGUCCACAUGUUGUGAUGUAUUUAAUGGCCUCACAGACCACCACUGUCUACCUUGCAGCCUCUGUUAAAAGGUACAUUAUUAGGCCCACAACCUCCUCCACUGUCACCUUGUUUGUUGUUGUCUGAAACUUAUGAC